Molecule: long non-coding RNA, 1988 nt
Filed under: Salmo salar (Atlantic salmon)
Lineage: Eukaryota; Metazoa; Chordata; Actinopteri; Salmoniformes; Salmonidae
Description: lncRNA (ENSSSAG00000071420.2)
Rfam family: UnaL2 LINE 3' element (bases 1696-1749)
Source: RNAcentral
CCCAGGCCUAUGAUACUGAGCUUAGAAAAAGCUCACACCAACACAUUUAUAAUGAGUAGAAACAUUUCCAACAAUGGUAUCCAACAAUGAUAUUGUAGUAUGUAGUAGGCAAUCAUAUCAAAACAGGCAAUCAUAUCAACUAGAGUUUGCAAGAGAGCAUGUGUAACAUCUCUCUUUAUGUUGUCUGUCUUAUGAUUAUAAGAAUGGAAGUCGGGGCAUGUGAUAUCAUUUGAACUUUACUGAAACCAUUGCAGGGAUCCAUACAUUGUUGUUCACUAGCUCAGUAGCUCAACUAGUGCAUGAGUAAAACAUGAAAUGGAAUACUGAGUGUGUCAGUCAUCAACAUAAUGAAAAUGUGGAGUUGAAAAACAGUAAUGUCCACUACAUUAAACUACAGCAUGCAAGGAGUGAGUAGACAAGACAGAUAUUGUAUGUUUGCACAAUGCAAGAUCAACAGUCCACAUGUAAUGUAUGGCUUGAAAAUAGAUUGCAGCUUGCCGUUAUUAAAUGUACUGACAACAUCCUGUCUACGUGUGUGGUCUGGUACACGGCUUCUGCUUUAGGCCCUUCAGUUGCUGCGUCUGAGAACAAAAACCACAGAAAACGUCAGGUCCACAUCCUUCAUUGUGACUUGACAUGUAGAUGGAAGCUAUGUGUGGAGAGACCCCAAGUCUUAUUUAUAUUCCUGUGUUCAUCAUUAUACAUUUUAACUUCAGUGCUUCUCUGUAAACAGCAUUGCGUGUGAAAUACUGUGAGACAGAGCUCAUGGCUAAAUAUAGGAAUGUGACUGAAUAGGUCUACAUCUGGACAUGUUUUCUAUACAAACAGCCUCUUACACCUCUCAUGAUCAGAAAUAACAUCCCCAACAGAGAAACUUAAAACUUACUACUUGACUUUCAUGAAAAUCCCCAAACUAUACCAAAGUUCCCUGUGUCCCAUAUUUCAAGACAUUGAACUCACCAUGUUUGGACAGAAGUAACUAACAGCCACUACAGUCAGUAGAAGUAUGACCACAACAGCUGAAUUUAUCAAUCGGAUAACAUUGACAAGUCUCACAUCAUGUGCAGCCUCUGAAAUACAGAGUGGAUGGAUGAAUUCACAUUUUUUGUCAAUUUAUUUGGUCUCUUAACCUCUUCCUUUCAUAUAGUGAUUAUAAAUAAAAGAAAAGUGUUUACAAAAGUUUUAUGCUAUACAUUCUCACCAUUAACCUGAAGAAAGGCUGAAUUAUUUCCAUAUAAUUUCCUGUCUGUAUUAUCCAGGGGUUUUGAUUGCAGAUCAAGCACACAACUGUAGUUGCCUGUGUCAUUGUUAAUAACACUUUUAAUUGUAAAAGUUGCCUCCAUCAGAUUCACAUCAAACUCCUUCAUCUGAACAGCAGUGCCGUUCUUGCAGAGUGCUUGAGCCUGAAAGUGAUAUGUCUGCAGGGAGAAUCCGGUCUGCAUGAGGUGAAAAAAGAGAGGAAUAGGAAAGGUGUGUUUGUAGUCACAUUGAAAUAUGUGUAUCAAAAAUAUUUGCAAGUAUUUUGUAGCAGCCGUUUUGGCCUGUUUAUGUGUUGUGUGUAUGUUCAGGUCUUCCCUGUGGCUCAGUUGGUAGAGCAUGGUGUUUGCAAUGCCAGCAUGGUGUGUGCAACGCCAGGGUUGUGGGUUCGAUUCCCAAGGGGGCCAGUACAAAAAAAAAAAAAAUGUAUGAAAUGUAUGCAUUCACUACUGUAAGUCGCUCUGGAUAAGAGCGUCUGCUAAAUGACUAAAAUGUUCUGUCAAGGAAUAUUUCUACUUGUUUUGUACACUAGAGGGCACUAUAUGUUGGGGCCAUGGGUCACAGGUCACAUGUGCAUAUAGGUGACCAGGAAGGGUUAACACAGGUGAGAGGAGAGAACAUACAGUUGUUACCAUAUCACAGAUAUAGCUUAAAGAAUGCAUGCCUCUGCAACUUUUCUAUAGGAAUAUGAGUUUUGGAUCUAUUUAUAUUUUAUAUGUGCAAUAAAUGGG